AUGGAGGAUUCCGCCAUGGAUAAUCCCUUAGAUCCCAGGAUCCCGCAGGCUGCCCUGUCGCUGCGGCCCGCAGCACUACCGCCUUUGAGUGAAACCCACAUGUGUUUUAGAGGGGAUCCAUUACUCUGGAAUCAAAGAUCGGUGGUGCCGAAGGACAUGCCAGGGCUGUGUUUCAGGUGGUGGGUAGCAAGGGCCAAUCGGAUAAUGGAAGCGUCGCAUCGAUUGGAGAGAAGUUUGAAGGAGCUACGCUUGGCGCAACACAAGGCAGAGGCGCAAGUUGAUCUUAGGGGAGAGAUGCUGGGGGAUGUCAGCAUCUGGCAGCGCCGCAUUGAUUUCGAGCUAGGUCUAAUGGCAGAGAUCAUAUUCACGGAGUCAACUGCGGAGGAAAGAACACGCAUGCCUGUGGAAUGGCAUGAGCUGCUGGUGCAACUAUUCAAAUGGGUGGUAGGAGAAGCCAAAUUGUGGGACCAGCUGCGGUGUCGCCGCUGGGAAUGCACCAUAGGCAAGGUGUCUGCCUGGAGCGAUUUCUGUGGGAUGAGUCGGGCUGGGGAGGUGGAUGGAUGCUAUGGUGCUGCUAAUCUAGGUUCUGGUAGCUGCGAGUGGUUGGUUGCUGGCACCUGUGUUUGUCGGUUCCAUUCUAGUAGUUCUUCAUCAGGAGGAGCUCUUGUCUGGUGGACCAAGCCUUCUUGUUGUGAAACAUUUUAUUUAAGGACAUUCUGUGGAAUGAAGGAAGUGAAAGAAGUCGUAGUGGUGCGCGAUCCAUCCUACGAAAAUGUAUUUGAAGUUGACAUUUUGAUCAUUCUCCCCGGGCACGUCACAGACCCCGACGACUGCAACAGAUUUGUUCAGGCCACAGUCGACCACUACGGCCAAUUGGACCAUCUUGUGUGCAACGCUUGUCUUGCAAGCGUUGGCGCCUUUCAGGAGAUUCCUAACCAUGUGUAUAACAAUCUUCUUCUCCUAUUUGUGCACAUCAGGGACGGCUCGGAUCUGACGUUUUUGGUGUCUUACUGGUUUUCGGGGCGGGGGUGGUGCAGUGGCCGCAUGAACACGCUCAGGGGCAUCAUCGGCCGGGCGCUCAGGAGACAGGCGAGGUGGUUGCUGCCCACCCAGAAAGUCUGCAACAUGGCGGAGUCCAUCUUUGGCCGUCCCAAGCACGACCAUGAUAGACCCACAACGGCAGGUAUCAUCUCCAUCUCCAUCUCCCUCCCCCUCUUCCUCGAAGUAGCAGCACAACAUCAGAUUGUUCAAAUGAUGAGAGAGGUUCCCAUUGUGGUUACAACUGACAAUGUAGUAUCAGUCAACUGGCUAGCCUGGAGUAGCUUGGUGUUGUACAUGAUGGUGUUAACUAUGAAAAUGCCAAGUGAACCUCUUCUUGCCGCGGCCGUCCUCCUCCCCCUGCUCUGCUCUGCUCAACAGCUAGCAUCCAUGGCUAAAACAAAGGUAAGACUUUGGCCGGUCGGUGUAUUGAGCCAUGGUGGUCUAUUUGUGGGGGUCAUCAGCAUUGGUAUAGGGCGACUAGUGAUGCAACACAUCAAGCAGCAGCAGCAGGGGGGAGGGGGUCUCUCGAACAUCGAUGUUGCCACUCAUUGCUACUGUCGUUGA
Molecule: ribosomal RNA, 1605 nt
Filed under: Triticum aestivum (bread wheat)
Lineage: Eukaryota; Viridiplantae; Streptophyta; Magnoliopsida; Poales; Poaceae
Description: partial small subunit ribosomal RNA
Source: RNAcentral